UUUUCUUCCGCUUAGUUAUAUGCCCAAAUUCAGCGGGUAUUCAUGGCUGAGCUGAAGUUAACUAAAAGCUAUUAAACUUUCAGUGGGCAUGAAGUUUCGCUUCCUUAAAUGAUCUAAAGCAAUAACACUGAAUGCGUCCUCCAAAUAGGCCAUUUUCAGUAAGCAGAACUGGUGCUGUGGGAAUGAACCAAGCGUCGCGUUAAGCAGUCAAACUUUCCGCCCAAGUGACCUCAUGAAAAGCGUUGGCUGAUACGGAGAACGGGAUGUUGGCCAUGGAAGUCGGAAGCCGCUGAGCAGUGUGCAGCAACUCCCACCUGGCGAAUCAACUAGCCCUGAAACUGGAUGACGCUUGAGCGGGAUCAUCUGAAUAAUUCUGGGAAGCUACUCUCAGAGCAUG
This is a non-coding RNA of Gongylonema pulchrum, 397 nucleotides long. The record is from Rfam. Lineage: Eukaryota; Metazoa; Nematoda; Chromadorea; Rhabditida; Gongylonematidae.